UAAAGCGCACGCAGGCGGUCUGUCAAGUCGGAUGUGAAAUCCCCGGGCUCAACCUGGGAACUGCAUUCGAAACUGGCAGGCUAGAGUCUUGUAGAGGGGGGGAGAAUUCCAGGUGUAGCGGUGAAAUGCGUAGAGAUCUGGAGGAAUACCGGUGGCGAAGGCGGCCCCCUGGACAAAGACUGACGCUCAGGUGCGAAAGCGUGGGGAGCAAACAGGAUUAGAUACCCUGGUAGUCCACGCCGUAAACGAUGUCGAUUUGGAGGUUGUGCCCUUGAGGCGUGGCUUCCGGAGCUAACGCGUUAAAUCGACCGCCUGGGGAGUACGGCCGCAAGGUUAAAACUCAAAUGAAUUGACGGGGGCCCGCACAAGCGGUGGAGCAUGUGGUUUAAUUCGAUGCAACGCGAAGAACCUUACCUGGUCUUGACAUCCACAGAACUUAGCAGAGAUGGAUUGGUGCCUUCGGGAACUGUGAGACAGGUGCUGCAUG
Molecule: ribosomal RNA, 487 nt
Filed under: Klebsiella pneumoniae
Lineage: Bacteria; Pseudomonadati; Pseudomonadota; Gammaproteobacteria; Enterobacterales; Enterobacteriaceae
Description: bacterial SSU rRNA
Rfam family: Bacterial small subunit ribosomal RNA
Source: RNAcentral